GAGGGAGAGGAAAUUGAGGAUAUUGUUUGGAUGCGUGGAAGGAAAAUAAGAAAAGGGUUUUGUGGUAGAAGGAUUAGGAUGGUGGGUGGGCAAGUAUUAGAGUUGAGGGAUGUCUUGAUGAGGAGGGAAGAGAAGAGGAGGGAGAGGGAGUGGAGUAGGGAGAAGGGUAUGUUGGAGAGAGAAGAAAGAAGGAAAAAAAUGGAACUUUGCAGGGAAAGAAGAGACGAUGAAAGGAAUGAGGAUAUAGAGAUGAAAGGAUUGAUGUUGGAAGAAAGACAAAUGAGGUGGGCUAAGAGGGAGUGUGAGAAAAGGUUGAGGUUAGAGAGGGAAUUUGAUGAGGAGAAGAGACAAAGAAUGAAGUUGGAGGAGAAAUGGGAAGAGGAAGAACUGGAGUGGAGGCAGCGUUUGGUGAAUAUGCAGAUUGACCAUGAAAAGCAGAUGAUGCAAAUGCAUGCUGAUGCUUGCCAGAACCAAACAAAUUUGCUUGGUAUCAUGGCUCGGCUGGUCUGUCAAUUUUUUGGCUCGGCAAAUGAUGGAUUAGGGGGUGGUUUGGGGCCGUUGUCAGCACAAGUUUUGCAGAACUUGCAGCACCCAGGGGGCUUGAGUGAUAGUGGGAAGCCAGAUGCUCCUUCACCUUCCGAGUUUUUGUAGACUGUAAUUAGCUCCUAUCUAUUCUGGAGUAUUGAAUAGAAG
RNAcentral lists this unclassified non-coding RNA (693 nucleotides) under Hevea brasiliensis (rubber tree). The record is from RNAcentral. Lineage: Eukaryota; Viridiplantae; Streptophyta; Magnoliopsida; Malpighiales; Euphorbiaceae.